This 282-nucleotide non-coding RNA is filed under the name uncultured Nitzschia. The record is from RNAcentral. Lineage: Eukaryota; Bacillariophyta; Bacillariophyceae; Bacillariales; Bacillariaceae.
ACCGAAAAAAAGAACGAAACAAGCCGAUGAAACCAACAAAACCCGAAAAGAGAAGCACAUCUUUCUUUUUGGAGUUUGUUUUUGUUGUUGCUUCGUUCUUUUUCCCCUUCUCUCUUUCCUGGAUUUGAGAUUUUCGUUUGAAAAAAAAAAAAAAAAUGGAUUUUGGAUUGAUGCUGAUUGAUCAUUCAAACUACUACCAGUACUUCGCAUUCAUCACUUUACAUUCUUAUGCUUCGACAACGCGCGAUCAUAAUACAAUACAAUAGUACAAUAGUUGGUUCA